This 830-nucleotide long non-coding RNA is filed under the name Homo sapiens (human). Its description in RNAcentral is "HSALNT0245921". Lineage: Eukaryota; Metazoa; Chordata; Mammalia; Primates; Hominidae. The record is from RNAcentral.
CCCCUGGCCCCCGACAGCCCCAUGGCGUCUCCUGGGCUUCCCCCACUGUGAGUCCAGGCUCAGCUCCAGCCACUUGUCCAUCCCAUGUGGGCACAGGGGCUCCCUGGGAUUCGACCCGUCCUGCCUUAGGGGCCUCCAACUCCUGGCAAAGGGCAGUGGGCAGGAAAUGCCCAGGUUGUCACGUGCAAGCCCAGGAAGAGCCACCUCGGCAUGAAAGAAAAACAAGAAACUCAGAUCCAGAGGCUCCAACCUGCAGAGCAGCCUGGGUUCCCUCCAAACUGGGCCAGGUUGGGGGAAGCAGGCUGAGGCUGCGAGUAGCCGGGACUCCCUCCGCCAGGACGGGCUUGAGCCUGUCGCGUGCUGUGAAGUGUAUUUCUGAGCGGACGCUGGCAUUUCAGAAUCGCAACUGCUGUGUCAGUGGAAAUCUUCCUGCAGACUUUUCUUUUGAGGAGAAAUUGUUUCAAUGGGAUAAACUCCCUGGAGUGGAGUUUCUGGGCCGGAGGGAACGAGCCCAGCCGAGCUCUUGAACCUGCCCAAGCACCCGCCACCAUCACUGGCCAAGUGUGGGUGGAGCAGUCCCAUCAGAACUUGAUCCGCAGGCCUUCAGCACCAUUGAAAAUGUUUGCUCAUAGGCCGGGUGUGGUAAUCCCAGCACUUUGGGAGGCUGAGGCGGGCGGAUCACUUGACACCGGAAGUUUAAAAACCAGCCUGGCCAACAUGGUGAAACUCUGUCUCUACUAAAAAAUACAAAAAUCAGCCGGGCAUGGUGGCAGGUACCUGUAAUCCCAGCUACUCAGAAGGCUGAGACAGGAGAAUCACUUGAACUCAGG